AGACACUGUUUCAAAGUAUUUUCCAUUCGUUAAUUUAUUUAAUCAUCACAACAUCCUGAUGAGGCUGAGAUUGUUAUUUCCGGUUUUACAGAUGAGGAAACUGAGGCACUGAGGACUUCAGGAACUUGCCCACUGUUUCACAGCCAGGAAGAGGCAGAUUGCAGAUUUGGAGCCCAGAGAGUGCUGUUCUUAGUGUACACUGCCUCCUUGAUGCUGCUGGUCUCCCCUGGUGCCACCUCCAGCUUCGGGCUCCAGAACCUUCACGGUCAGGCUCUGGGUUCUGACCUUUUCCUGUCUUCAGCAACUAAAGAAUAAGAAGCAGGCAGAGACACAGAUGCUCCACGGCAGCCCUCCACGGACACCCAGCAAGCGGCGAGGUCUGGCACCCAGCACUCUGGGCAAAGUGCGCAAGAUUCUAAGCUCCCAGGAUUCCAUUAUCACUGAGAUGCUAAGAGUGAACAGAUGUAAAGUGUCAAAAGCUAAAUGAGAAAAAGAAGAGAACAGUCAUUCGGAGCCCCAGCAAGUAUCAUGGAACGCCCUGGGAUGUGCCCAGGAAACUAGAGUCACCGGAGGCUCACUUCAAAAGCUGGUCUUCAGUUGCGGCUGAGCAAAGUCCCGGCCUGCGGGUUCCAGCCCGUUGACACUGGAUCACGAAACACAAAUAGGUACUCUCUCCCAAGGAGAGGGGUGGGAGUGUUCGCUAAAAUGUGUUCAGUAUCAAGAUAAGGGUUUUGCAUAUCAUUAAGGGUUUGUCUUUUUUAAACCGGAAGUGUAGGAUUGCAGACACACAUGUAAUAAAAAGAUGGUACCAGCCUUUGAUAAUUUGUGUGUGUGGUCAUUAUAAGGAUGAUACAUUGAUUGAUUUUUUUUUUUCUCUCUCUACAGGUGUCAUUACUUCUACCAGUUUGAGGAGAAAAACACCCGCUGGUGUCAAGCCUGGAACCAAUGAGAAGAACCUGGAGCUCAUUGGCAGCAUCCUCAGUGGCACUGUUUGCACUACUGGAAGCAAAAGCACAGAGGAAUCAACACCAUCUUCAACUGGUGGGACAGGUUUGUUUGUUUGUUUGUUUAGGGCUGCUCUUGUGGCACGUAAGGCAUAUGGAAGUUCCCAGGCUAGGGGUUGAAUCAGACCUGCAGCUGCCAGCCUACACCACAGCCACAGCAACUCAGGAUCUGAGCCGCCUCUGCAACCUGUUACACCACAGCUCACUGUGA
This 1215-nucleotide long non-coding RNA is filed under the name Sus scrofa (pig). RNAcentral describes it as "lncRNA (ENSSSCG00065073219.1)". The record is from RNAcentral. Lineage: Eukaryota; Metazoa; Chordata; Mammalia; Artiodactyla; Suidae.